UACGGGGGGGGCAAGCGUUGUUCGGAAUUACUGGGCGUAAAGGGCUCGUAGGCGGCCAACUAAGUCGGACGUGAAAUCCCUCAGCUUAACUGGGGAACUGCGUCCGAUACUGGAUGGCUUGGAUUUGGGAGAGGGAUGCGGAAUUCCAGGUGUAGCGGUGAAAUGCGUAGAUAUCGAGAGGAACACCUGCGGCGAAGGCGGGUUGCUGGGCUGACACUGACGCUGAAACGCGAAAGCUAGGGGAGCGAACGGG
RNAcentral lists this ribosomal RNA (253 nucleotides) under uncultured bacterium. RNAcentral describes it as "partial 16S ribosomal RNA". It matches the Rfam family "Bacterial small subunit ribosomal RNA", at positions 524 to 776 of the family's 1533-position model. The record is from RNAcentral.